CCUACGGGUGGCAGCAGUGAGGAAUAUUGGUCAAUGGACGCUAGUCUGAACCAGCCAAGUAGCGUGAAGGAUGACUGCCCUAUGGGUUGUAAACUUCUUUUAUAUGGGAAUAAAAUGCUCUAUGUAUAGUACUUUGCAUGUACCAUAUGAAUAAGGAUCGGCUAACUCCGUGCCAGCAGCCGCGGUAAUACGGAGGAUCCGAGCGUUAUCCGGAUUUAUUGGGUUUAAAGGGAGCGUAGGUGGAUUGUUAAGUCAGUUGUGAAAGUUUGCGGCUCAACCGUAAAAUUGCAGUUGAUACUGGCAGUCUUGAGUACAGUAGAGGUGGGCGGAAUUCGUGGUGUAGCGGUGAAAUGCUUAGAUAUCACGAAGAACUCCGAUUGCGAAGGCAGCUCACUGGACUGCAACUGACACUGAUGCUCGAAAGUGUGGGUAUCAAACAGGAUUAGAUACCCCGGUAGUC
Molecule: ribosomal RNA, 460 nt
Filed under: uncultured bacterium
Lineage: Bacteria
Description: partial 16S ribosomal RNA
Rfam family: Bacterial small subunit ribosomal RNA
Source: RNAcentral